GAUGAACGCUGGCGGCGUGCCUAAUACAUGCAAGUCGAGCGAACGGACGAGAAGCUUGCUUCUCUGAUGUUAGCGGCGGACGGGUGAGUAACACGUGGAUAACCUACCUAUAAGACUGGGAUAACUUCGGGAAACCGGAGCUAAUACCGGAUAAUAUUUUGAACCGCAUGGUUCAAAAGUGAAAGACGGUCUUGCUGUCACUUAUAGAUGGAUCCGCGCUGCAUUAGCUAGUUGGUAAGGUAACGGCUUACCAAGGCAACGAUGCAUAGCCGACCUGAGAGGGUGAUCGGCCGCACUGGAACUGAGACACGGUCCAGACUCCUACGGGGGGCAGCAUUAGGGAAUCUUGCGCAUUGGGCGAAAGCCUGACGGAGCAGCGCCGCGUGAGUGAUGAAGGUCUUCGGAUCGUAAAACUCUGUUAUGAGGGAAGAACAUAUGUGUAAGUAACUGUGCACAUCUUGACGGUACCUAAUCAGAAAGCCACGGCUAACUACGUG
This 497-nucleotide ribosomal RNA is filed under the name uncultured bacterium. RNAcentral's name for it is "partial 16S ribosomal RNA". It matches the Rfam family "Bacterial small subunit ribosomal RNA", at positions 28 to 507 of the family's 1533-position model. The record is from RNAcentral.